GGUGUUGUGGCUCAGCGGUAGAGCGCUUGCCUAGCACAUGUGAGACCCUGGGUUCAAUCCUCAGCACCACAU
Molecule: non-coding RNA, 72 nt
Organism: Ictidomys tridecemlineatus (thirteen-lined ground squirrel)
Lineage: Eukaryota; Metazoa; Chordata; Mammalia; Rodentia; Sciuridae
Source: Rfam